Long non-coding RNA from Hordeum vulgare subsp. vulgare (domesticated barley), 416 nucleotides. RefSeq lists it as uncharacterized. NCBI's taxonomy places the organism in Eukaryota, Viridiplantae, Streptophyta, Magnoliopsida, Poales, Poaceae. The transcript is spliced from 2 exons. The record is from RefSeq and is a predicted model, not a curated record.
GCUGUUUCUUUUGGCAUAAUGCAGUGGGAUUGUUAACCCUUUCAUUUGCUUAGCUCCCGAGUAGAAUUUACAGGUUUGACUGAAUUGUGGAGAGGAAUGGCGAUUCGUUGCUGGUGCGGAGUCAGGAGUGCUUGGAGAAGGUUGCCAAGACGGUCUCCUUCCUCGCGCAGCCUGAAGGCUCAUUCCUGCUGUUGCUCACAGUUCAAAAGGACCGCGCGCUGGAGCUCCUAAACGUGCGCCCCUUCUACUUCGUUUACUUAUGUGGCGUGAAGACAUAAAGCAAACCUUUGGAGCCAUAGUUGUCUUUUUUGUCAUCUAAAAUAAUAAUGGUAACAUAUUAAUGCAAACAAAAUAAUAUUGUAGCUCAAAAAAUUGUAUGUGAAUAAUGAAUGGAUGCUAUGGAACUAUAUUUGUUA